UCCUGGGGGACUCAGUGGUAAAGAACCUGCCUGCCAAGUAGGAGACACAGGUUUGAUCCCUGGUCUGGGAA
This is a non-coding RNA of Bos taurus (domestic cattle), 71 nucleotides long. NCBI's taxonomy places the organism in Eukaryota, Metazoa, Chordata, Mammalia, Artiodactyla, Bovidae. The record is from Rfam.